GCCUUUUGCUUGUGAUUUUUGUUCUUCUCGACGAUCAUCGCAGCAUCAGCUAAGAGGUUUCUUUCGUGAACACUGGCACAGGGAAUCAAACUCUGGUUCUUAAGAAUAUCAGAGGCAUCGCCAGACGAUCCAUUGCUAAUCGAUUCGCCAAAACCACCACCGCCAAAUACAUCAAAUUCAUCAUCGGAGCUGUCGUUAGUGUUCCCAUUAAAGCAAUUACAUCGGUGACGGCCCCGAAACGGCUUCUCGUUGCUCUCCUCGAUGUAAUUCUGCACCAUUUUAGC
This 284-nucleotide unclassified non-coding RNA is filed under the name Hevea brasiliensis (rubber tree). The record is from RNAcentral. Lineage: Eukaryota; Viridiplantae; Streptophyta; Magnoliopsida; Malpighiales; Euphorbiaceae.